CUACGGGCGGCACCAGUGGGGAAUAUUGCACAAUGGGGGAAACCCUGAUGCAGCCAUGCCGCGUGUAUGAAGAAGGCCUUCGGGUUGUAAAGUACUUUCAGCAGUGAGGAAGGGUGAUAAAUUAAUACUUUAUCAUUUUGACGUUAGCUGCAGAAGAAGCACCGGCUAACUCCGUGCCAGCAGCCGCGGUAAUACGGAGGGUGCGAGCGUUAAUCGGAAUUACUGGGCGUAAAGCGCAUGCAGGUGGUCUGUUAAGUCAGAUGUGAAAGCCCGGGGCUUAACCUCGGAAUCGCAUUUGAAACUGGCAGGCUAGAGUACUGUAGAGGGGGGUAGAAUUUCAGGUGUAGCGGUGAAAUGCGUAGAGAUCUGAAGGAAUACCGGUGGCGAAGGCGGCCCCCUGGACAGAUACUGACACUCAGAUGCGAAAGCGUGGGGAGCAAACAGGAUUAGAUACCCCGGUAGUC
This 464-nucleotide ribosomal RNA is filed under the name uncultured bacterium. RNAcentral's name for it is "partial 16S ribosomal RNA". It matches the Rfam family "Bacterial small subunit ribosomal RNA", at positions 339 to 795 of the family's 1533-position model. The record is from RNAcentral.